Molecule: unclassified non-coding RNA, 229 nt
Filed under: Hevea brasiliensis (rubber tree)
Lineage: Eukaryota; Viridiplantae; Streptophyta; Magnoliopsida; Malpighiales; Euphorbiaceae
Source: RNAcentral
UUUACCUGUCUUACAUCUUCAUCACAGAAGAAAGAUUGAGAAACUACUACCCAUAAAUAGAUAAAUAUAAAGUCAAUUUAAGAUACUAGUUAUGAUUUAGUUAUGAUCAAUAAGGAUUUAGGAUUACAAUUACAAGGGCACAGAGUGGCCAGAUUGACAAACUACAGGGUUCUUAUUCCUCCAUUAAAAGAAACAGAUAUUCUCAUAACAGAAAAAAAAAAAAAAAAAA